This 392-nucleotide ribosomal RNA is filed under the name uncultured bacterium. RNAcentral describes it as "partial 16S ribosomal RNA". It matches the Rfam family "Bacterial small subunit ribosomal RNA", at positions 523 to 918 of the family's 1533-position model. The record is from RNAcentral.
ACACGUAGGGGCCUGACGUUGUUCGGAAUCAUUGGGCGUAAAGGGCGCGCAGGCGGCCGUCCAAGUCCGGUGUUAAAUGGUCGGGCUCAACCCGAUCAUGCGCUGGAAACUGGGCGGCUUGAGUCCCGUAGGGGAUGCCGGAAUUCCAGGUGUAGGGGUGAAAUCUGUAGAUAUCUGGAAGAACACCGAUGGCGAAGGCAGGCAUCUGGCCGGAGACUGACGCUGAGGCGCGAAGGCGCGGGGAGCGAACAGGUUUAGAUACCCUGGUAGUCCGCGUAGUAAACGAUGCGCACCAGGUGUCGGGCGGCAGCGCCCGGUACCGGAGCUAACGCGAUGAGUGCGCCGCCUGGGGAGUAUGCCCGCAAGGGUGAAACUCAAAUGAAUUGACGGGG